GAUGAACGCUGGCGGCGUGCCUAAUACAUGCAAGUCGAGCGAACAGACGAGGAGCUUGCUCCUCUGACGUUAGCGUCGGACGGGUGAGUAACACGUGGAUAACCUACCUAUAAGACUGGGAUAACUUCGGGAAACCGGAGCUAAUACCGGAUAAUAUAUUGAACCGCAUGGUUCAAUAGUGAAAGACGGUUUUGCUGUCACUUAUAGAUGGAUCCGCGCCGCAUUAGAUAGUUGGUAAGGUAACGGCUUACCAAGGCGACGAUGCGUAGCCGACCUGAGAGGGUGAGCGGCCACAAUGGAACUGAAACAAGGUACAGACUCCUACGGGAGGCAGCAGUAGGGAAUCUACCGCAAUGGGCGAAAGCUUGACGGAGCAACGCCGCGUGAGUGAUGAAGGUCUUCGGAUCGUAAAACUCUGUUAUUAGGGAAGAAAAAAUGUGUAAGUAACUAUGCACGUCUUGACGGUACCUAAUCAGAAAGCCACGGCUAACUACGUG
RNAcentral lists this ribosomal RNA (497 nucleotides) under uncultured bacterium. RNAcentral describes it as "partial 16S ribosomal RNA". It matches the Rfam family "Bacterial small subunit ribosomal RNA", at positions 28 to 507 of the family's 1533-position model. The record is from RNAcentral.